This 2777-nucleotide ribosomal RNA is filed under the name Salmonella enterica. Its description in RNAcentral is "bacterial LSU rRNA". It matches the Rfam family "Bacterial large subunit ribosomal RNA". Lineage: Bacteria; Pseudomonadati; Pseudomonadota; Gammaproteobacteria; Enterobacterales; Enterobacteriaceae. The record is from RNAcentral.
AGCGUACACGGUGGAUGCCCUGGCAGUCAGAGGCGAUGAAGGGCGUGCUAAUCUGCGAUAAGCGCCGGUAAGGUGAUAUGAACCGUUAUAACCGGCGAUACCCGAAUGGGGAAACCCAGUGUGAUUCGUCACACUAUCAUUAACUGAAUCCAUAGGUUAAUGAGGCGAACCGGGGGAACUGAAACAUCUAAGUACCCCGAGGAAAAGAAAUCAACCGAGAUUCCCCCAGUAGCGGCGAGCGAACGGGGAGGAGCCCAGAGCCUGAAUCAGCAUGUGUGUUAGUGGAAGCGUCUGGAAAGGCGCGCGAUACAGGGUGACAGCCCCGUACACAAAAGCGCAUGUGCUGUGAGCUCGAUGAGUAGGGCGGGACACGUGGUAUCCUGUCUGAAUAUGGGGGGACCAUCCUCCAAGGCUAAAUACUCCUGACUGACCGAUAGUGAACCAGUACCGUGAGGGAAAGGCGAAAAGAACCCCGGCGAGGGGAGUGAAAAAGAACCUGAAACCGUGUACGUACAAGCAGUGGGAGCACAGGUUUACCUGUGUGACUGCGUACCUUUUGUAUAAUGGGUCAGCGACUUAUAUUCUGUAGCAAGGUUAACCGUAUAGGGGAGCCGGAGGGAAACCGAGUCUUAACCGGGCGUUAAGUUGCAGGGUAUAGACCCGAAACCCGGUGAUCUAGCCAUGGGCAGGUUGAAGGUUGGGUAACACUAACUGGAGGACCGAACCGACUAAUGUUGAAAAAUUAGCGGAUGACCUGUGGCUGGGGGUGAAAGGCCAAUCAAACCGGGAGAUAGCUGGUUCUCCCCGAAAGCUAUUUAGGUAGCGCCUCGUGAAUUCAUCUCCGGGGGUAGAGCACUGUUUCGGCUAGGGGGCCAUCCCGGCUUACCAACCCGAUGCAAACUGCGAAUACCGGAGAAUGUUAUCACGGGAGACACACGGCGGGUGCUAACGUCCGUCGUGAAGAGGGAAACAACCCAGACCGCCAGCUAAGGUCCCAAAGUCAUGGUUAAGUGGGAAACGAUGUGGGAAGGCCCAGACAGCCAGGAUGUUGGCUUAGAAGCAGCCAUCAUUUAAAGAAAGCGUAAUAGCUCACUGGUCGAGUCGGCCUGCGCGGAAGAUGUAACGGGGCUAAACCAUGCACCGAAGCUGCGGCAGCGACGCUGAUGCGUUGUUGGGUAGGGGAGCGUUCUGUAAGCCUGCGAAGGUGGCCUGUGAGGGUUGCUGGAGGUAUCAGAAGUGCGAAUGCUGACAUAAGUAACGAUAAAGCGGGUGAAAAGCCCGCUCGCCGGAAGACCAAGGGUUCCUGUCCAACGUUAAUCGGGGCAGGGUGAGUCGACCCCUAAGGCGAGGCCGAAAGGCGUAGUCGAUGGGAAACGGGUUAAUAUUCCCGUACUUGGUGUUACUGCGAAGGGGGGACGGAGAAGGCUAUGUUGGCCGGGCGACGGUUGUCCCGGUUUAAGCGUGUAGGUGUGUGUUCCAGGUAAAUCCGGUUCACUUUAACACUGAGGCGUGACGACGAGGCACUACGGUGCUGAAGCAACAAAUGCCCUGCUUCCAGGAAAAGCCUCUAAGCAUCAGGUAACAUCAAAUCGUACCCCAAACCGACACAGGUGGUCAGGUAGAGAAUACCAAGGCGCUUGAGAGAACUCGGGUGAAGGAACUAGGCAAAAUGGUGCCGUAACUUCGGGAGAAGGCACGCUGACACGUAGGUGAAGUGAUUUACUCAUGGAGCUGAAGUCAGUCGAAGAUACCAGCUGGCUGCAACUGUUUAUUAAAAACACAGCACUGUGCAAACACGAAAGUGGACGUAUACGGUGUGACGCCUGCCCGGUGCCGGAAGGUUAAUUGAUGGGGUCAGCGCAAGCGAAGCUCCUGAUCGAAGCCCCGGUAAACGGCGGCCGUAACUAUAACGGUCCUAAGGUAGCGAAAUUCCUUGUCGGGUAAGUUCCGACCUGCACGAAUGGCGUAAUGAUGGCCAGGCUGUCUCCACCCGAGACUCAGUGAAAUUGAACUCGCUGUGAAGAUGCAGUGUACCCGCGGCAAGACGGAAAGACCCCGUGAACCUUUACUAUAGCUUGACACUGAACAUUGAGCCUUGAUGUGUAGGAUAGGUGGGAGGCUUUGAAGUGUGGACGCCAGUCUGCAUGGAGCCGACCUUGAAAUACCACCCUUUAAUGUUUGAUGUUCUAACGUGGACCCGUGAUCCGGGUUGCGGACAGUGUCUGGUGGGUAGUUUGACUGGGGCGGUCUCCUCCUAAAGAGUAACGGAGGAGCACGAAGGUUGGCUAAUCCUGGUCGGACAUCAGGAGGUUAGUGCAAUGGCAUAAGCCAGCUUGACUGCGAGCGUGACGGCGCGAGCAGGUGCGAAAGCAGGUCAUAGUGAUCCGGUGGUUCUGAAUGGAAGGGCCAUCGCUCAACGGAUAAAAGGUACUCCGGGGAUAACAGGCUGAUACCGCCCAAGAGUUCAUAUCGACGGCGGUGUUUGGCACCUCGAUGUCGGCUCAUCACAUCCUGGGGCUGAAGUAGGUCCCAAGGGUAUGGCUGUUCGCCAUUUAAAGUGGUACGCGAGCUGGGUUUAGAACGUCGUGAGACAGUUCGGUCCCUAUCUGCCGUGGGCGCUGGAGAACUGAGGGGGGCUGCUCCUAGUACGAGAGGACCGGAGUGGACGCAUCACUGGUGUUCGGGUUGUCAUGCCAAUGGCACUGCCCGGUAGCUAAAUGCGGAAGAGAUAAGUGCUGAAAGCAUCUAAGCACGAAACUUGCCCCGAGAUGAGUUCU